GAGUUAGCUCUCUUAGCCAUGAUAGAGGGCGGCGUACGGCUCAGUAACAUGUGGUCAAUCUACCCUCAGGACGGAGAUAACCUCGGGAAACUGAGGCUAAUAUCCGAUAGAUAAUGGAUCCUGGAAUGGUUCAUUAUUCAAACGGCACAUUGCUCAUGCGCAGUGUGCCGCCUGAGGAUGAGACUGCACCCUAUCAGGUAGUUGGUGGGGUAACGGCCCACCAAGCCUAUAACGGGUACGGGCCCUGAGAGGGGGAGCCCGGAGAUGGGCACUGAGACAAGGGCCCAGGCCCUACGGGGCGCAGCAGGCGCGAAACCUCUGCAAUGCGCGAAAGCGCGACAGGGCCACCCCGAGUGCUAGCCGCUGAGGUUAGCUUUUCCUUAGUGUAGUAAGCUAAGGGAAUAAGCGGGGGGCAAGCCUGGUGUCAGCCGCCGCGGUAAUACCAGCUCCGCGAGUGGUCGGGACGAUUAUUGGGCCUAAAGCGCCCGUAGCCGGCCUAUCAAGUCUCUGGUUAAACCUCAAGGCUCAACCUUGAGAUUGCUGGAGAUACUGCUAGGCUAGGGGGCGGGAGAGGCCGGGGGUACUCCCGGGGUAGGGGCGAAAUCCUAUAAUCCCGGGAGGACCACCAGUGGCGAAGGCGCCCGGCUGGAACGCGCCCGACGGUGAGGGGCGAAAGCCGGGGGAGCGAACCGGAUUAGAUACCCGGGUAGUCCCGGCUGUAAACGAUGCGGGCUAGGUGUCGGACGGGCUUAGAGCCCGUCCGGUGCCGCAGGGAAGCCGUUAAGCCCGCCGCCUGGGGAGUACGGCCGCAAGGCUGAAACUUAAAGGAAUGGCGGG
Molecule: ribosomal RNA, 837 nt
Filed under: uncultured crenarchaeote
Lineage: Archaea; Thermoproteati; Thermoproteota
Description: bacterial SSU rRNA
Rfam family: Archaeal small subunit ribosomal RNA
Source: RNAcentral